UACGCGAGGCAGCAGAGGGGAAUAUUGCACCCUGGGCGAAAGCCUGAUGCAGCCAUGCCGCGUGUAUGAAGAAGGCCUUCGGGUUGUAAAGUACUUUCAGUCGUGAGGUAGGUUAUAAGCUUAAUACGCUUAUCUCUUGACGUUAGCGACAGAAGAAGCACCGGCUAACUCCGUGCCAGCAGCCGCGGUAAUACGGAGGGUGCGAGCGUUAAUCGGAAUUACCGGGCGUAAAGUGCAUGCAGGUGGUUCAAUAAGUCAGAUGUGAAAGCCCGGGGCUCAACCUCGGAACUGCAUUUGUAACUGUUGGACUAGAGUACUGUAGAGGGGGGUAGAAUUUCAGGUGUAGCGGUGCUAUGCGUAGAGAUCUGAAGGAAUACCAGUGGCGAAGGCGGCCCCCUGGACAGAUACUGACACGCAGAUGCGAAAGCGAUUGGAGCAAUGAGGAUUAGAUACCCUGGUAGUCCACGCCGUAAACGAUGUCUACUUGGAGGUUGUGGCCUUGAGCCGUGGCUUUCGGAGCUAACGCGUUAAGUAGACCGCCUGGGGAGUACGGUCGCAAGAUUAAAACUCAAAUGAAUUGACGGGGGCCCGCACAAGCGGUGGAGCAUGUGGUUUAAUUCGAUGCAACGCGAAGAACCUUACCUACUCUUGACAUCCAGAGAAGCCAGCAGAGAUACAGGUGUGCCUUCGGGAGCUCUGAGACAGGUGCUGCAUGGCUGUCGUCAGCUCGUGUUGUGAAAUGUUGGGUUAAGUCCCGCAACGAGCGCAACCCUUAUCCUUGUUUGCCAGCACGUAAUGGUGGGAACUCCAGGGAGACUGCCGGUGAUAAACCGGAGGAAGGUGGGGACGACGUCAAGUCAUCAUGGCCCUUACGAGUAGGGCUACACACGUGCUACAAUGGCGCAUACAG
Molecule: ribosomal RNA, 910 nt
Filed under: Vibrio sp. W28B
Lineage: Bacteria; Pseudomonadati; Pseudomonadota; Gammaproteobacteria; Vibrionales; Vibrionaceae
Description: SSU rRNA
Rfam family: Bacterial small subunit ribosomal RNA
Source: RNAcentral